This is a long non-coding RNA of Lycium barbarum (goji berry), 1487 nucleotides long. RefSeq lists it as uncharacterized. The record is from RefSeq and is a predicted model, not a curated record. The transcript has 3 exons. NCBI's taxonomy places the organism in Eukaryota, Viridiplantae, Streptophyta, Magnoliopsida, Solanales, Solanaceae.
UCGCUCCUCCUUCCCUGCUUGGAAUUAUCAUUUUCUUUGGUGACUUUUUUAUUUUCGUUUUUGCUUCUCCUUCUUCUCCAGUCGUGGCUUCUCUCUACCCCUCUCUUUCAAAGUGUAAUUUUUUUUCCCUUUUGAUUGUCCGAAAAGAUUAUGGAUUUGAAAAUCGACUUUGGUGUUUGGUAUUCUCAAAAUUCAGACUAAGCUGAGGAGACAGUACGAUGAUUGCCAGGUAGGACAUCGAAAAGGUCAAAUAGAAAUUCCAACAUUGAUAUAUCUCCUAGGGUAAGUUCAUAGUUUUCCUAUACGUGAUCUAAAUUAUUGGGAAACGUCAACUUACAUUAGUUUAAUUCAUUCCUUCUAAAUUCUUAUUUAAUUCCCAGAGAAAUUUUUAUUUUUUGUUAUUUCUUGAAGGAUAAGAGUCAGUGGUAAAAACGAUCUGCUAUAGGAAUUGUGCUUGUGAUUUUUUAAUUUUACAUUCAGUUUCUUGGUUAAUGAGUAUCCUCACCUGUUUUCUAUGUCAAUAAUGAUUGUCUUCUAAAGCAGCCCCUUCCCUAAUUAUAGAGUGAAGGAACCUUAGUUAAACUGAAUUGCUGGGAAAAUGGCCUAAAAUACAAAAUGUAUUGUAUGGAAAUGGAAUCUUCUUUAGAUCUCUCCAAUUUCGAUAUUCCAUCCGUUGCCAGGAAAAAAAAAGGAACUUACAAACACAAUUUUCUAUAUCUUACACACACAAUUUGCUAUAUAACGAAUUUCAUACCAAUUUUAUCCUCACAAUGUGACAUCGUUGUUGCAGUAAUGUUUUGCUACUUUGCUUUUUUUCAUCUUCUUUAUUUCAGUUUUUCGAUAUGUUGUACUAGUUGUAUCCAUGUGUGUUUCACAUUGCAGACUUUGGUCAGUAUUGCUCUUCUAUUGGCUUCCAUUUUUUUCGCAGGUUCUUCGUAUUAAGGAGAGGUCGAUUAUCCAAAGUUGAUCCUUCUCUAUUGGAUGGCAGUUUAUCAAAAUUUCUCUGAUUACUUUGAAGAUGUCAGUCUCUCUGUUCAGAAUAGUCAUGUUUUUUUCAUUCAUUGUUGAUGAUGAAUGUGAUCACUUCAUUCAUUUUAGGUCUUACCCAUCAUAUUAGGACGCACUACUGAAUUGAAAGGAAGUAUACUCUGAAACUGCAGCUUGGAUUUGAUUCUGUCCUAAUGUAUUAAAUGCCAUAAUAAAUUGGAUUAUCAAAGUCUAAAGCUCUCGUUAUGAGUUUAUAAGGUGCAACUUGCUACACAAGCUAUGGAGUGUAAAUCAUUGGGUUUUUGAAGAAGGCAAAGAUUGUUAGACACAUUUUGUAACAAAGGGGAUCAUAGUGCGUUUUACUUAUUGCAAUGUCAUGUGUAUGAUCUUACGAAAGAAGCUUUUUACUCAAGUUUUGUGUAGCGUCCUUGAAAAUUUUGAUUUGAGUUUAAUAUUUUAAGCGUGCUGACGAAUAUAGAAAAUAUUGUUUUUGCAUACCA